Molecule: ribosomal RNA, 585 nt
Filed under: Epsilogaster sp. JCB-2006
Lineage: Eukaryota; Metazoa; Arthropoda; Insecta; Hymenoptera; Braconidae
Description: eukaryotic LSU rRNA
Rfam family: Eukaryotic large subunit ribosomal RNA
Source: RNAcentral
CAUCGUCAGCUUAUUUAGUAUUAGUAUUAGCUAUGAUGUGAUUAUAUAAUCCUUGUGGUCAUUGAAAUUAUACUUGCUUAUGCUAUUCGCGCUGAAUAUUGUCGGCGUGCACUUCUCCUCUAGUAGAACGUCGCGACCCGUUGAUCGUUCAUUUAUGGCCCGAUUGGGUAGAUUUUGGUAUUUUAUUAUACCGAAAACCAUUGGUGUUUCCUAAUGAACUGUUUGACGGUAAUCAUAUGGUAUUGAGCCGCAAUUUAUUUGCGUUAGGCAUACCCCAAGUAAGGUUUUAUUUUGACAGUACGGACUUUGUGCCGUCGUUAAAACUAAUCUACUGUUAGUGGUAAUGUCCUUUAACUGGCUUAACUACCGGUCAGCGAUGCUACUGCUUUGGGUACUUACAGGACCCGUCUUGAAACACGGACCAAGGAGUCUAACAUGUACGCAAGUCAUUGGGAUUUUUUUAAAAAACAAACCUAAAGGCGUAAUGAAAGUAAAGAUUGUUCUUGUAACAAUUAAGGGAAGAUGGGUUAUGUUACGAUAUAACCUCGCACUCCCGGGGCGUCUUAUUCUCAUUGAGACAAGGCG